ACGGAAGGCAGCAGUGGGGAAUAUUGGGCAAUGGGCGAAAGCCUGACCCAGCAACGCCGCGUGAAGGAUGACGGUCUUCGGGUUGUAAACUUCUUUAAUUGGGGAAGAAUAAAUGACCUACCCAAAGAGUAAGUCACGGCUAACUACGUGCCAGCAGCCGCGGUAAUACGUAGGUGACAAGCGUUAUCCGGAUUUACUGGGCGUAAAGGGCGUGUAGGCGGUUUGGCAAGUCAGAAGUGAAAUUCCUGAGCUCAACUCGGGCGCUGCUUCUGAAACUGCUAGACUUGAGUGCUGGAGGGGAUAGCGGAAUUCCUAGUGGAGCGGUAAAAUGCGCAGAUAUUAGGAAGAACACUGGUGGCGAAGGCGGCUAUCUGGACAGUAACUGACGCUGAGGCGCGAAAGCGUGGGGAGCAAACAGGAUUAGAUACCCUGGUA
Molecule: ribosomal RNA, 435 nt
Filed under: uncultured Saccharofermentans sp.
Lineage: Bacteria; Bacillati; Bacillota; Clostridia; Eubacteriales; Oscillospiraceae
Description: partial 16S ribosomal RNA
Rfam family: Bacterial small subunit ribosomal RNA
Source: RNAcentral